GGUAAAACUGUAAAUUUUCCACUUUUAAAGGUAUUUCAGUAAUUUAUCUAUUUUAGGGUUUUUCAUGCAUAUUCCUACUUUUCACGUACUAACAGAAUCACGUACCGAGGGUUCUUACCAAAUUGGGCCCGUUGGCCCAUCAUUCCAAUUUUGGCCCAUUAAGCCCAAAAAUAUCGAGGGCACAGAAAUCAUGCACUUUGCAGUCCAACUUUUGCAGCUUACCAAAAACAUUAAUCAAUUUACCUCACGAGCAUUCGCACACUCGCAAAUAUACAAAAUACCGGUUUUCGAUAUUUCGGCUUUUCGACUCUUACCGAUCCAGACUAAGAAAGAGGGUGUUAGUUACACACCUGUUUGCGACG
This 362-nucleotide long non-coding RNA is filed under the name Gossypium barbadense (sea-island cotton). RNAcentral's name for it is "long non-coding RNA (GBAR_LNC001128)". The record is from RNAcentral. Lineage: Eukaryota; Viridiplantae; Streptophyta; Magnoliopsida; Malvales; Malvaceae.